ACACGACUACAUUAGAUACCCUGUAGUCCAGGGUGUAAACGCUGCGGGCUUGGUGUUGGGGGUCCUUUGAGGGCGCCCAGUGCCGGAGAGAAGUUGUUAAGCCUGCUGCUUGGGGAGUACGUCCGCAAGGAUGAAACUUAAAGGAAUUGGCGGGGGAGCACCGCAACGGGAGGAGCGUGCGGUUCAAUUGGAUUCAACGCCGGACAACUCACCAGGAGCGACGGUUACAUGAAGGCCAGGCUGAUGACCUUGCCUGAUUUUCCG
RNAcentral lists this ribosomal RNA (264 nucleotides) under uncultured archaeon. RNAcentral describes it as "partial 16S ribosomal RNA". It matches the Rfam family "Archaeal small subunit ribosomal RNA", at positions 717 to 982 of the family's 1478-position model. The record is from RNAcentral.